GUGGAAUUCCACGUGUAGCAGUGAAAUGCGUAGAGAUGUGGAGGAACACCAAUGGCGAAGGCAGCCCCCUGGGUCGAUACUGACGCUCAUGCACGAAAGCGUGGGUAGCAAACAGGAUUAGAUACCCUGGUAGUCCACGCCCUAAACGAUGUCAACUAGGUGUUGGGAGGGUAAAACCUUUUAGUACCGGAGCUAACGCGGAAGUUGACCGCC
RNAcentral lists this ribosomal RNA (213 nucleotides) under uncultured bacterium. Its description in RNAcentral is "partial 16S ribosomal RNA". It matches the Rfam family "Bacterial small subunit ribosomal RNA", at positions 661 to 873 of the family's 1533-position model. The record is from RNAcentral.